AGUGUAUGAGGGGUUGAAGUAUGGUUGCUAGUAUUGGCCAAGACUCAGCUAUUGUUAGAGGGCAUACUCCUAAAUUAGGUUUUCAAUCUUGUCUCCCUUUUAAGUUAGGUUGCAGGUCCUCCACAAGGACUCAAAUAUAGAAAUACAGGAUCCUUCUCAGGCCAUAUUUAGUUUGCUUUAACAGGGCAUUAUGUGAAUACAUACUGUAUUCCAUUAAGAGAUCCUUGCUCUGAAGAAAUUUUAAAAGUGAAAAAAACCUUUCACAUCUGGAGAGCGCAUCUUUGGAAUGCAAUGUGAGAGAACAUUCCCCAGGAGAUGGAAACAUAUUUAUGAUCUCCAAGUUAUAGGAUGCAGCAACAAGGCACCAUCUUGGAAGCUGAAGGCAGGCCUUCACCAAACACCAAACCUGCUGCACCUUGAUCUUGGGCUUCCAGCAUUCAGAAUGGAAUCUCAGUUGGGCACGGUAGUUCACGCCUAUAAUUCAAGCACUUUCGGAAGCUGAGGUUGGAGGAUCUCUUGAGGCCAGGAGUUCAAGACCAGCCUGGGAAACGCAGAGAAACCCUGUCCCCACAAAAAGAAAAUAAAAUAAUAACUUAGCGAUUCGUAG
RNAcentral lists this long non-coding RNA (607 nucleotides) under Homo sapiens (human). Its description in RNAcentral is "HSALNT0151366". The record is from RNAcentral. Lineage: Eukaryota; Metazoa; Chordata; Mammalia; Primates; Hominidae.